UGUCUUUUUGAAAAUAAUAUAAAGUCUAAUCUGCCCACUGAUUUAAUAUUAAAGGGCUGCAGUAUAUUGACUGUACAAAGGUAGCAUAAUCAUUAGUCAUUUAAUUGAUGACUUGUAUGAAGGAUUGGAUGAAAUAUAAACUGUCUCUUAAUUAUAUUUAGAAUUUAAUUUUUUAAUUAAAAAGUUAAAAUGAAUUAAAAAGACGAGAAGACCCUAUAGAGUUUUAUAAUUAAAUUAAUUGAGAUUUUUUGUAAGAUUAAAAUUAAAAUUAAUUUAUUUAUUUUGUUGGGGUGACAGAAAAAUAUGGAGAACUUUUUUUAUAAUAUUACAUAAAUAAGUGGUUAAAUGAUCCAAUAUUAUUGAUUAUAAGAAAAAAUUACCUUAGGGAUAACAGCGUAAUUUUUUUUUUUAGUUCAUAUAAAAAAAAAAGUUUGCGACCUCGAUGUUGGAUUAAGAUAAAAUUUAAAUGCAGAAG
RNAcentral lists this ribosomal RNA (475 nucleotides) under Sesamia calamistis. RNAcentral describes it as "partial 16S large subunit ribosomal RNA". Lineage: Eukaryota; Metazoa; Arthropoda; Insecta; Lepidoptera; Noctuidae. The record is from RNAcentral.